UGAGGAAGAUAAUGACGGUACUCAACAAGGAAGUGACGGCUAACUACGUGCCAGCAGCCGCGGUAAAACGUAGGUCACAAGCGUUGUCCGGAAUUACUGGGUGUAAAGGGAGCGCAGGCGGGAAGACAAGUUGGAAGUGAAAUCCAUGGGCUCAACCCAUGAACUGCUUUCAAAACUGUUUUUCUUGAGUAGUGCAGAGGUAGGCGGAAUUCCCGGUGUAGCGGUGGAAUGCGUAGAUAUCGGGAGGAACACCAGUGGCGAAGGCGGCCUACUGGGCACCAACUGACGCUGAGGCUCGAAAGUGUGGGUAGCAAACAGGAUUAGAUACCCUGGUAGUCCACACCGUAAACGAUGAUUACUAGGUGUUGGAGGAUUGACCCCUUCAGUGCCGCAGUUAACACAAUAAGUAAUCCACCUGGGGAGUACGACCGCAAGGUUGAAACUCAAAGGAAUUGACGGGGGCCCGCACAAGCAGUGGAGUAUGUGGUUUAAUUCGACGCAACGCGAAGAACCUUACCAAGUCUUGACAUCCUGCGACGRACAUAGAAAUAUGUCUUUCCUUCGGGACGCAGAGACAGGUGGUGCAUGGUUGUCGUCAGCUCGUGUCGUGAGAUGUUGGGUUAAGUCCCGCAACGAGCGCAACCCUUAUGGUCAGUUACUACGCAAGAGGACUCUGGCCGGACUGCC
Molecule: ribosomal RNA, 687 nt
Filed under: Faecalibacterium prausnitzii
Lineage: Bacteria; Bacillati; Bacillota; Clostridia; Eubacteriales; Oscillospiraceae
Description: bacterial SSU rRNA
Rfam family: Bacterial small subunit ribosomal RNA
Source: RNAcentral